CGCCUGGACGGUAAAUGUUGUUUCGGGGUUUCUGGAACUUUUUUUCAAAUAAUUCCGUCCGUCACGUGCCCCUAUAAGUUACACGCAGGGUGUUGCAGCAGCAGUUCACAGUUUCCUAUAUGCAAUUCUAUAUAGGAGUUUAUCAAAUCCGGUAGAUACACAAUCUGUAUUUAUAUUUUGGUCGAUUUUACACGUACAGCCUCUUCCGACU
This is a non-coding RNA of Cinara cedri, 211 nucleotides long. NCBI's taxonomy places the organism in Eukaryota, Metazoa, Arthropoda, Insecta, Hemiptera, Aphididae. The record is from the annotation of a GenBank genome assembly.